Molecule: non-coding RNA, 3832 nt
Organism: Marmota flaviventris (yellow-bellied marmot)
Lineage: Eukaryota; Metazoa; Chordata; Mammalia; Rodentia; Sciuridae
Source: RefSeq, a predicted model, not a curated record
GGGUGAACCGCACUGAUGGCCCAAGACACUGCAUGAGGCAAGCACUCUGCAGAAACGCUAAGGGUCAGGAGAAGAGGGCAAGAUGAGGAAGUUCCUGCUAUCUGGACUCAGAGUCCCACCCCUGGGGACGUGCUCCAACGGCAAGCAGUUUCAGGAUCACUUUGCAGGCUUGCACAGCUUUGCUCCCAUUAAACCUCUGAUUGCGUCUGUUGCCAUUUGGAACAGAGAUUCUUCGAUCAAGUCUUCAACAACAUGACACUGGAUCUGGUAAGUGUGUGUGGACCAGUCAUAGGCGUGCAGAUGUCUUCCACUCGGACAGAAGAUGGUAACCAUGUCCACAGGCACUGCCACAGACUGUCAGGGACAAACAUGUUGUUGCUAUUAUUUUUCAGCUAAAAAAAUAAGCUCUUUACAAUGCAUAGUUGGAGGAACUUAGUCCACAGAUUCAAAGCCAUAGAAUUACAUGUUCUUAAAGACUCACAGGAGAUAACAAAGCAGAAAACACAUGUAGUGUUUUGUGGAAAGUCCUGAGGGCUGUGUGUCAGGGCCAAGCUGAAUGGGCAGGGGACUUGCUCCAGCCACCCCCCAGGGACCCAGCUCCAGCCCUGCCUGUCCUUCUUCCACUUCCCCUUUAUCUGAAGCAGUGGACAAGAGAAGGAGGAGGUGCCAAAGGACACCAGGGGUCCUGGAGGAACUGAAGCCACCACGUGCUGCAGGUGGAGGAGCCUGUAACCUCUUAAGGAAGAGUGGUUAGAAACUGCGGCCCUGAUUUGAAUCCUGAGGGCCCUUCGUGACACUUUCACUUCCAACAGGCCACCACCUGUGAUGGUGUCCUGCUGUGACUCGGGACUAAGCAAAUGUGAUCCUGCCUGUUCCCAACCCUGGGAGGCCAUGCCCAAGUCUUCACCCAAGUUUCCUCAGUAAGACUGGAAGAAGGUGGGGCAGCAAAGCCCCUUUGACAAUGCAUAGCAGGAGUGUGAGUCCCGUGUCACAAGGGGACUCACAGCUCUGAUGCCUUGACCAGAACAAAUGAUGUUUUUGACAAGAGGACUUGACAAGAUCCUCACGGAAUCACACAGGAUGUCACCUCCUGAGCUCUUCCAGAGCACAGAGAUGGAAGGGACACCGGGAUGGCGGGAAGGGAGGUUGGGAGCCAAGGAUCAUGGCAGUGUCCUCCAGACCCCUGGGUGUGGACUUGUUGGCCAAUGCUUCUGCAAACAAGGGGGAUGUAGGUGAUCUCACUUUCCCAAGGGCAGUGCUCAAGGCCAGGGCCAGGCCAGGGCCAGGCUGAGCUCUUACGCUUGGCUUUUGCUCUGGAAAGUUCUCUCUUGGUGUGCUGCAGAGCACAGCCCUGAAGCACAGGAUAGUGGACAAAACCCCCGUGACGGCCCAGGCUCCACCAGGCCAGCCUUCGCCCACUCAGAGCCAAGAGAAAGCAAACAGGCCUCUGGACAGCGGAGUGGAGGCUGCAUGUUCUCCUCACACACCACUGACUUGCUGGGCCCAGAGCCUGUGCUGAGGAUACCCCACACACCCAGGACCCAGGCUGGCUUCUGAGGAGCACCUGGAACAGCCAGCUGGGCAGUGGGCUCAAACUUCUCUGCCUUAGUCAACUUGAUUUUGGAUGGACUGAACAUGUCAUGUGGCAUGUGAAUGAGGGACCCCCCCCCCCCCCCCCCCCGCCCCUUGCCCUCUACCUCUUGGCUCCUGGUGAGCACAUUUGGAUCAUGACUGGCUAGAGCACAGUCCUCCCCACAUCCCUCUGUCUCUGGAGCACCUCCACCCCACAAAGCUCUACUCGUUCUGCAACUCCCACCAGAAAGACGGUCAUAGACUUCCUGAUACUUCCUGGUGAGUGGUAGGCAAGGACCAGAUCAAUCAACCAAUCAACCAACUAACCAACCAGCCAACCCAGAUACUUGGGAUGCAUUUUCCCAAAGACAGAGCCUUGUGAGGGAUACCCAGGCCCAGAUGCAGCCCCCAGGGCUCCACUCCACAUCUGUGGAGCAACCAGAAAUCAUGGAUCCAUCUCAACCCCACAGAUUCCUCACAGCUGAACUGGGGAGCCAGUGCCAUUCACAGGGCAGAGACUGGGUUACUGAGCAUGUCCCUGCCUGGCCUUUCCCGGCCAAGACUUGAGUGGUAGGAACCCAGAUGGCUUAUAUCGGCAGGGCCUCCAGUCUUCUUUCAGGAUGCCCCUGGGGCUUGUGAAGGCCAAAGAGACUUGCCAAGUGACAGGUGCAUUCUGUGAGUCUGUUCGUUUCAAGCAAAAUUUCUGGUUUCACUUGAUUCUUAUCCAGAAUGAGGCUUAGGUGCUCGUCACUAUCAUGGGGCACUGAGGGGGCAUUGUACCCACUUUGGAAAGGCAGUUUUUUCCCUCCUGAUUUGCUUCACAGUAAAGGUGGCACUGCAGCUAAUGCAAGGCGAGUAAACUGUGGCAAAUGUCAUCAGCAGGCUCCCCCACCAGGAACCCUCGCUUCUUUCAGACUCUGCUGAGUCCCUCUGGGGCACUCUUGUCCUCUAGAGCACUUUGAGAUACUUCAUAGUGUCACUGUAAAGCCAAACCCUUGUCCCAGUGCGGCAGAGCAUGGCCAGGCCAGCUAGAACACAGCAAGCCAGGGCUGAGCCAAACAAGGGCACGCUGACCUGUCACCCUACAGAGGCCAAGGCCUGGUGCUCAUGCCCACUCCUUAUAGUGCCAUGGCCCCCAAUCCCCAGUAUCCACCAUCCUCGGACCUCAGCCUCCUGGGAAGCUGGGAUUGCAGCCUGCAGAAAUGGGCAGAAGGGAAUGGCAGCGCAGACCCAAGGGCCAACCAAUAGUGUCAGUGCUUUCCAAACCCGAUUGGCAUAAGUUUUAACCAAUAGCUUUUAGUACUUUUCCAAACCCGAUUAGCAUAAGUAUGGACCAAUAGUGUUGACCCAAGUGCUAUAUAAACCCCUAGACCAACACACUCAGUAACCCACCUGCUACUGGUUACUCUCUUGUCUUUGAGUUCUGUUUCUAUGCUUCACACUUGAAUAAAUCCUACAUCUCUCACUCUUGCUUUCUGCUGUCCCAUCAAUCUCAUUCUUUGGACUUGCUAAAAAGAACCCGGAAAGACGAGACGUUGACAGUGAGCUUCUGGGGUCUGUUGCACCCUGGAGAGCAGAGUCCCACAUACAGCUGCAACACUGGGAGCUGAGCCCACCGUUCCACGGUAGUGGAGAAGAACAUGGCUUUCCACCCUCGACCCUCAGAGCAAAUGCUGAAGUGGUGAAUUAAGUUUUAUCUCAAACUCUGGUUUCACUGGUUCUUCAACUGGCUCCAAGGCUGUCCCCACAGCUACUCUGCCGUGCUCACCUUCCCAGAGGACCUCUCCCCAUCCCUACAGGUGGCGUGCCACCUCUGAACACAGCAUGGCACACAACGCUUCUGGAAGUCUCUCUGAGAACACCCAGCUCUUUCUUCAAAGCAAAGCGGCAUGGGAACCUGCAGGCAAAGCGGCCAAGGGCGGAGCUGCUCUCCUGAGCCGAGCGUCCAGUUCCUGCCACAGGACAGGUGCCUGCUAGCUGAGUGGCCUUGCACCGGUGAGUGCCCCCUGAGCCUGCAUUCGCCCAUCUGGGAAAGCAAAGAGGACACUUUGGAGUCUGCUUUGAGGGCAAAUCAAGAGCCGCACAGAUGGCUUGAAGCAUGACGCUAGCACCCACCAGUAGCUCUACCCUUCCCUUAUUUGUGGGCGGUGAAGGCGAAGAAGAUCCUCAAGUUGCUGGGCACGGUACUGCAUGCUGUAAUCCCAGCAGCUCAGGAAGCUGAGGCAGGAAGAUUGCCAGUUCAAAACCAGCCUCAGCAAUG